RNAcentral lists this transfer RNA (69 nucleotides) under Bathygobius cocosensis (Cocos frill goby). RNAcentral describes it as "tRNA-Ala". It matches the Rfam family "tRNA". Rfam says of the family: Transfer RNA (tRNA) molecules are approximately 80 nucleotides in length. Their secondary structure includes four short double-helical elements and three loops (D, anti-codon, and T loops). Lineage: Eukaryota; Metazoa; Chordata; Actinopteri; Gobiiformes; Gobiidae. The record is from RNAcentral.
GAGGCUUUAGCUUAAUUAAAGUAUCUGAUUUGCAUUCAGAAGAUGCGGGUUAAUGUCCUGUAGGUCUUA